RNAcentral lists this transfer RNA (716 nucleotides) under uncultured cyanobacterium. RNAcentral describes it as "partial miscellaneous RNA". The stretch from base 258 to 330 matches the Rfam family "tRNA". Lineage: Bacteria; Bacillati; Cyanobacteriota. The record is from RNAcentral.
CAGGGAGACAAACAAUUGAUUAUGAAGACUGUUUUUUUUUCAGUCCGUAAUCCUGUCACCUUAGGUCGAUCGGUACCUCAGGUUGAGAAUCUAAGAAAUAAUGAUUAUUCAUUUAUUAGGUUUUUAAUUUCAGUUCCUAAACUUGUCUAGGUCACACCCAACAAACUUUCUUCUGGGCUAUUAGCUCAGGUGGUUAGAGCGCACCCCUGAUAAGGGUGAGGUCCCUGGUUCAAGUCCAGGAUGACCCAUUCGUUGUUGGGGGUAUAGCUCAGUUGGUAGAGCGCCUGCUUUGCAAGCAGGAUGUCAGCGGUUCGAGUCCGCUUACCUCCACUGAUCCACUGCCUAAUAACUCUUUAAUAUGAAGAUUGUUUUUAUGUGUGAUUUAGGUGUUGUUCACUGAAUGAACCUAGCUUCAUAUCAUCCUUUGAAAAUUCAAAAUUGUGGUUGAUAAGACGCUGGGCUCACUGUUUUUCUUGAAUGAAUUACAGGAAAGUUCAGUAGAACCUUGACAACUGCAUAGGUAAGUCUGGAAAGAAUAAAGCAUCUCAUGGAUGCAUAUAUUCUAUUGAUUAAGAUUAGAUCUUUUUCAAUUGAAUAAAUGUUCAAUUCUUAAACAAAGAGCCGAGAAUUAAAGUCUUUUUUCAAUGCUAUUUAAUUGAAUUUAAAUUCAAUUAGAUGUUGAGUAUUUGAGCUUAAGACUUUCUUGAUAAAUAUAU